RNA transcript from Cannabis sativa, 3160 nucleotides. RefSeq lists it as uncharacterized. The transcript has 25 exons. Lineage: Eukaryota; Viridiplantae; Streptophyta; Magnoliopsida; Rosales; Cannabaceae. The record is from RefSeq and is a predicted model, not a curated record.
GGAGUUUCCAAGGUGUGAAAUCAAUCAAAGUAAAUUCAAGAAAUAAAAAUCGUUUGUUCUGUUCUUUUGUGACGGUGAAGAAGAUGAGAGUUGCGGUGGUUGGUGGUGGUAUUAGUGGGCUGGUUUCAGCCUAUGUUUUGGCAGAAAAGGGAGUUGAAGUGGUUGUGUAUGAGAAACAAGGCCAUCCCAACACUCUUACUUUUGAUGGUUUUGAUUUGGAUCUUGCUUUCAUGGCCUUUAAUAGUGUAACAUAUCCAAAGAUGAUGGAGUUUUUUGAUAAGCUUGGAGUAGAGUUGGAGCCAUUAGAUAUGUCAUUCUCAGUAAGCUUAGAGGAAGGAAAAGGGUAUGAGUGGGGUACUCGAAAUGGCUUCUCAAGUUUAUUUGCUCAAAAGAAAAAUCUCUUUAAUCCUUAUUUCUAUCAAAUGAUUAGAGAAAUUGUCAAGUUCAAGGAUGAUACUAUCAGCUAUGUUGAUAUGCUUGAGAACAACCGAGACAUAAUAGAGCGAGAUGAAACGUUAGGAGAGUUCAUUAAGUCUCAUGGUUACUCCAACUUGUUCAUGAAAGCUUUUCUUAUUCCAAUGGUUUGUUCGAUAUGGAGUUGCCAUUCAGAAGUUAUUAUGAGUUUCUCUGCAUUCUCUGUCCUUUCGUUUUGUCGUAACCACUAUCUCUUUCAGCUUUAUGAUCACCCUCAAUGGCUUACAAUCAAAGGACAUGUACAGUGUUACGUCAAUAAAGUAAGAGAGAAGCUAGAGAGUAAAGGUUAUCACAUUAAAACCUACUCCGAGGUACAAAUGAUUUCAACUAUCGAUGAGGGUUGUGUAGUUGAGACUGAAGAUGGUUCUAAAGAAGUGUAUAAUGGGUGCAUAUUGGCUGUCCAUGCUUCUGAAGCUCUGAGAUUACUUGGAGACCAAGCUACUCCUGUUGAACAAAGAGUUCUUGGUGCAAUCCAAUAUGUUUAUAGUGACAUUUACCUUCAUCGUGACAAAACUUUAAUGCCCAAAAACCCAGCUGCAUGGAGUGCAUUGAACUUCCUAGCAAGUAGUGACAAUAAAGUAUGUUUGACAUACUGGCUCAAUGUGAUUCAGAAUCUUGGUGAAACAAGUCUCCCUUUUUUUGUGACUCUUAAUCCUAAUCACCCACCAAAACAAACAUUGCUUAAGUUUUCAACUACCCAUUCACUCCCAUCUCUUACUUCAUCGAAAGUUUCACUCGAGUUUCAUCGAAUUCAAGGAAAAAGAGGAAUUUGGUUUUGCGGAGCUUAUGAUCAAGGUUAUGGAUCCUAUGAGGAUGGAUUAAAGGCAGGAAUGGUUGUAGCAUAUAACUUAAUUGGAAAAAGUUGUGAGCUAAUUGUUGGUAAUCCAAAUCCAAUGGUACCUUCUAUGAUGGAAAGAGGAGCACGCCUUUUUGUUACUAAAUUUCUUACAAAGUUUAUCACUGCAGGAUGUUUCAUUAUAUUGGAAGAAGGAGGCACUGUUUUCACUUUUGAAGGAAACACAAAAAUAUGUUCCCAUAAAGUAACUAUCAAAGUUCACAAUCCACAAUUUUAUUGGAAGAUUAUGAUGGAGGCAGAUUUAGGACUCGCAGAUGCUUAUAUUAAUGGAGAUUUCACCCUUGUUGACAAAGAUGAAGGUCUACUAAAUCUCUUUUUGAUAUUUAUUUCCAAUAUGGAAUCAAAGUCCUCAGCCUCACUAAACAAGAAAGGGUUGAUGAGGGAAUGGUGGAAUCCCUUGUUGUUCACAGCUACUAUUGCCUCAGCCAAAUGUUUCUUUACCCAUGUUUUAAGGAAAAAUACUCUAACACAAGCUCGCAGAAACAUCUCUCGUCAUUACGACCUGAGUAAUGAACUCUUUGCUCUAUUCUUGGAUGAGACAAUGCAAUACUCUUGUGCUAUAUUUAAGUCAAUUGAUGAAGACUUGAAGAAUGCACAAAUGCGAAAAAUGUUAAUUCUAAUUGAGAAAGCAAGAAUUGAUAAAAAUCAUGAAGUUCUUGAUAUUGGGUGUGGUUGGGGAAGUUUGGGUAUUGAAAUUGUCAAAAGAACUGGAUGCAAUUACACUGGCAUCACUUUAUCUGAGGAGCAAUUGAAACUAGCACAAAAGAAAGCUAGAGAUGCUGGCCUUCAAGAAAACAUUAAAUUUCUUCUUUGUGACUAUCGACAAUUGCCUGCUACCUACAAAUGUGACAGAAUCAUAUCUUGUGGGAUGUUAGAACAUGUUGGCCACAAAUUUAUUGAAGAGUUUUUUAGUUGUUGUGAGUCUGUUUUAGCAGAGAAUGGCCUUGUUGUUCUACAGUUUAUAUCAAUGCCCGAUGAUCGAUACUAUGAGUACAUAAGAAGUCCAGGCUUUAUAAAAGAAUACAUUUUCCCUGGUGGAAGUCUACCUUCAUUGAGUAGAGUAACAUCAGCCAUGGCUACUUCAUCUACACUCUGUGUGGAGCACGUUGAAAAUAUUGGAAUUCAUUACUACCAAACACUGAGGAUUUGGAGAAAGAAUUUUCUAGAAAACCAAAGUCAGUAGUCCCGGGAUCCGUAAGGGGAAACACCGGGUAAGCUGUGCAAUCCCACAUCGCCUGAGGAAGGUCAAGUGGGAUGAUUAUGAGACUGUGUGGGUAUGGGACUGCAUAGUUGAAGAGAGCUUAAAUGGAUUGAUUGAUACUACCUAUAUCAACAAGGUGCAUCUUGUUUUUCGGUAGCCUAUCUCGAAAGAACUCCACAGUUAAGCGAGCUUGACUUGGGAGUAAUUUUAGGAUAGGUGACCUCCUGGGAAGUUUUCCCAGGAAGCGUGCGAGUGAGGACAAAGCAUGUUGGAAACACUCGUGUUGGUCUAUAGGGUCAGUCAUCAAUCCAGGAAGCAGCCAGAGUGGCGUACUCGUGUAUAAGAGUCAUUCAUUCCGUGGGUGUGAGGACCUAAUGGAGGCUUGAAGCGAGGACGUUACAAGGAUCAUUUAUUAUUGGAUACCAGUGUAAAAUUAAGGCCCUUGGAUUCAAUGACAAGUUUAUUAGGACUUGGGAGUACUAUUUUGAUUAUUGUGCAUCGGGUUUCAAAUCACGCACUAUUGGUGAUUAUCAGAUUGUGUUUUCUCGUCCUGGCAAUGUAACAACUUUUAGCAAUCCAUAUAGGGGCUUUCCUUCUGCCUAUGGGGAUGACUUUAAUUAAUGUUGAUC